UACGUAGGGGCCUAACGUUGUCCGGAUUUAUUGGGCGUAAAGAGCUCGUAGGCGGUUCGGUAAGUCAGGUGUGAAAUCUCCACGCUCAACGUGGAGGCGCCACGUGAGACUGCUGUGACUCGAGUCCGGUAGGGGAGCGUGGAAUUCCCGGUGUAGCGGUGAAAUGCGCAGAGAUCGGGAGGAACACCCGUAGCGAAGGCGGCGCUCUGGGCCGGUACUGACGCUGAGGAGCGAAAGCGUGGGGAGCAAACAGG
RNAcentral lists this ribosomal RNA (254 nucleotides) under uncultured bacterium. RNAcentral describes it as "partial 16S ribosomal RNA". It matches the Rfam family "Bacterial small subunit ribosomal RNA", at positions 524 to 776 of the family's 1533-position model. The record is from RNAcentral.